GAGCCUGCGGCUUAAUUUGACUCAACACGGGAAACCUCACCAGGCCCGGACACCGGAAGGAUUGACAGAUUGAGAGCUCUUUCUUGAUUCGGUGGGUGGUGGUGCAUGGCCGUUCUUAGUUGGUGGAGCGAUUUGUCUGGUUAAUUCCGAUAACGAACGAGACUCUAGCCUGCUAAAUAGGCGUAUUUCGACAUCCCAAAUGCCGGCUGGAGCCGGGUUC
Molecule: non-coding RNA, 220 nt
Filed under: Tribolium castaneum (red flour beetle)
Lineage: Eukaryota; Metazoa; Arthropoda; Insecta; Coleoptera; Tenebrionidae
Description: Archaeal small subunit ribosomal RNA
Rfam family: Eukaryotic small subunit ribosomal RNA
Source: Rfam by way of RNAcentral